AGGCAGGCAGAGACAGACAGACAGAGGCAGGCAGGGACAGACAGACAGACAGACAGAGGCAGGCAGAGAGAGAGAGACAGACAGACAGAGGCAGGCAGGGACAGACAGACAGACAGACAGAGGCAGGCAGAGAGAGAGAGACAGACACACAGAGGCAGGCAGAGAGGGGCAGGCGGAGGGAGAGAGAGGGAGGGGCAGGCGGAGGGCGAGAGACAGAGAUGGUACCUGGUAUUCUCCCAGGGCCGGACAAUCCCAAAAUGUGUGUAGCAUAGUGUCUGUCUGUGUUUUGCAUCUCCAGCAUAGCUCCGAUGCCUCCUUAUAGAUUCGCGAUAACUUGUAUGGCACCAGGUACCAUCUCAUGGUGAUUUUACAGAAGGUUUCCCAGAGUGAUAAGCUCCUUGAGGCUCAUUUAGUAAUUGACAUAGCUUCGUGCCAAUGUGACAUAGGUAGCUCAUACCCAAUCUCCUUCUCCCAUUGGAUCAUAUAGGGCAUUUUGUCUUUUGCAGAGACAGAGACACAGGCAGGCAGAGACACACACACAGACAGAGAGACACAGACACGCACAGGCAGGCAGAGAGAGACACACACACACAGGCAGGCAGAGAGAGACAGACACACAGGCAGGCAGAGAGAGACAGACACACACAGGCAGGCAGAGAGAGACAGACACACACAGAGGCAGGCAGAGAGAGACAGACACACACAGUGGCAGGCAGAGAGAGACAGACAUACACAGAGGCAGGCAGAGAGAGACAGACAUACACAGAGGCAGGCAGAGAGAGACACAGACAUACACAGAGGCAGGCAGAGAGAGACACAGACACACACAGAGGCAGGCAGAGAGAGACACAGACACACACAGAGGCAGGCAGAGAGACACAGACACACACAGAGGCAGGCAGACAGAGACACAGACACACACAGAGGCAGGCAGACACAGACACA
Non-coding RNA from Pelobates cultripes (western spadefoot toad), 945 nucleotides. Lineage: Eukaryota; Metazoa; Chordata; Amphibia; Anura; Pelobatidae. The record is from the annotation of a GenBank genome assembly.